GUCGCUAUAGCGUGGGUUAUAGUUCAGAAACGCAAAGCCUCGCGCCUGAUCGAUGGUGUGAAACAGCGGGUUCCAAUCAAACAUCGCCAGCAUGAAGCCAGGAAGGGUGUUUGCAACAAACAUCUUGCCAGAGGCAAUCAUAUUGGCGCGUUG
RNAcentral lists this non-coding RNA (153 nucleotides) under Sulfitobacter donghicola DSW-25 = KCTC 12864 = JCM 14565. RNAcentral's name for it is "Ruegeria cis2 sRNA". It matches the Rfam family "Ruegeria cis2 sRNA". From Rfam's summary of the family: Cis-encoded. Targets ABC transporter. Functions in transport. The record is from Rfam by way of RNAcentral. Lineage: Bacteria; Pseudomonadati; Pseudomonadota; Alphaproteobacteria; Rhodobacterales; Roseobacteraceae.